GAUGAACGCUGGCGGCGUGCCUAAUACAUGCAAGUCGAGCGAAAAGACGCGGAGCUUGCGGCUUUGACGUUAGCGGCGCACGGGAGAGAAACACGUGGAAAACCUACCUAUAUGACUGGUAACAUCACGGGAAACCGGAGCUAAUACGGGAGAAUCUAUUGAUCCGCAGGGGUCAUUAGUAAAAUACGGUUUUUCUGGCACUUAUAGCUGGUUCCGCGCCGCAUUAUCUAGUUGGUAAGUUAACGGCUUACCAAGGCAACGAGGCGUAGCCGAGCGGAGAGGGUGAUCGGCCACAUGGGAACUGAGACACCGUCAAUGCUCCUACGAGAGGCAGCAGUAGGGAAUCUUCCGCAGUGGUCGAAAACCUUGCGGAGCAACGCCGCGCGAGAUAUGGAGGUCUUCGGAUCGUAAAGCUCUGUUAUUAGGGAAGAACAAAUGUGUAAGUAACUAAGCCCGUCUUGACGGUACCUAAUCAGAAAGCCCCGGCUAACUACGUG
This 497-nucleotide ribosomal RNA is filed under the name uncultured bacterium. RNAcentral's name for it is "partial 16S ribosomal RNA". It matches the Rfam family "Bacterial small subunit ribosomal RNA", at positions 28 to 507 of the family's 1533-position model. The record is from RNAcentral.